AGAGUUUGAUCCUGGCUCAGAAUGAACGCUGGCGGCGUGGAUUAGGCAUGCAAGUCGAACGCGAAAGCUUCCCUUCGGGGGAGCGAGUAGAGUGGCGAACGGGUGAGUAACAGGUGGGUAAUGUGCCCCGAAGCGGGGGAUAACCCGAGGAAACUCGGGCUAAUACCGCAUGAGACCUCUUCGACCCUGGUCUUUGAGGUUAAAGGAGUUAUUCGCUUCGGGAGUGGCCCGCCCAUGAUUAGCUUGUUGGUAGGGUAACGGCCUACCAAGGCAACGAUCAUUAGCUGGUCUGAGAGGAUGAUCAGCCACAUUGGGACUGAGACACUGCCCAAACUCCUACGGGGGGCUGCAGUCUAGAAGCUUCGUCAAUGGGCGAAAGCCUGAACGAGCGACGCCGCGUGUGGGAUUGAAGGCUUUACGGUCGUAAACCACUGUCGGGAGGGAAGAAAACCCGUAUGGUGAAUACGGGCUUGACGGUACCUUCAAAGGAAGCCCCGGCUAACUCCGUGCCAGCAGCCGCGGUAAUACGGAGGGGGCAAGCGUUAUUCGGAUUUACUGGGCGUAAAGGGUGCGUAGGCGGCUUUGUAAGUCUGGUGUGAAAUCUUCACCGCUCAACGGGAAGUGGUCACUGGAAACUGCAGAGCUUGAGUGUGGCAGAGGCAAGCGGAAUUCCUGGUGUAGCGGUGGAAUGUGUAGAUAUCAGGAAGAACACCCGUGGCGAAGGCGGCUUGCUGGGCCAUCACUGACGCUGAGGCACGAAAGCGUGGGGAGCAAACAGGAUUAGAUACCCUGGUAGUCCACGCUGUAAACGGUGCGCACUAGGUGUAGGGGGUAUCGACCCCCCCUGUGCCGACGCAAACGCAUUAAGUGCGCCGCCUGGGGAGUACGACCGCAAGGUUGAAACUCAAAGGAAUUGACGGGGGCCCGCACAAGCGGUGGAGGAUGUUGUUUAAUUCGAAGCAACGCGAAGAACCUUACCAGGGCUUGAACUGUGGCAUACAUGGGGUGAAAGCCCCGGGCCUUUCGGGGCGUGCCAUAGAGGUGCUGCAUGGCUGUCGUCAGCUCGUGUCGUGAGAUGUUGGGUUAAGUCCCGCAACGAGCGCAACCCUUGUCGUUAGUUACCAGCGUGUUAUGGCGGGGACUCUAACGAGACCGCCGGCGAUAAGCCGGAGGAAGGUGGGGACGACGUCAAGUCAUCAUGGCCCUUACGUCCUGGGCUACAAACGUCCUACAAUGGCCGAGACAACGGGUCGCAAAGUCGCGAGGCUGAGCUAAUCUCUUAGACUCGGUCCCAGUUCGGAUUGCAGUCUGCAACUCGACUGCAUGAAGUCGGAAUCGCUAGUAAUCGCGGAUCAGCAUGCCGUGGUGAAUACGUUCCCGGGCCUUGUACACACCGCCCGUCACACCACGAAAGUCGGUUGUUCCAGAAGUCACUGUUGUAACCCCUCGGGGAGCUAGGUGCCGAAGGAAUGGCUGGUAAUUGGGGUGAAGUCGUAACAAGGUA
RNAcentral lists this ribosomal RNA (1504 nucleotides) under metagenome. RNAcentral's name for it is "bacterial SSU rRNA". It matches the Rfam family "Bacterial small subunit ribosomal RNA". The record is from RNAcentral.